RNAcentral lists this ribosomal RNA (495 nucleotides) under uncultured bacterium. RNAcentral's name for it is "partial 16S ribosomal RNA". It matches the Rfam family "Bacterial small subunit ribosomal RNA", at positions 28 to 507 of the family's 1533-position model. The record is from RNAcentral.
GACGAACGCUGGCGGCGUGCCUAAUACAUGCAAGUAGAACGCUGAAGGAGGAGCUUGCUUCUCUGGAUGAGUUGCGAACGGGUGAGUAGCGCGUAGGUAACCUGCCUGGUAGCGGGGGAUAACUAUUGGAAACGAUAGCUAAUACCGCAUAAGAGUAGAUGUCGCAUGACAUUUGCUUAAAAGGUGCAAUUGCAUCACUACCAGAUGGACCUGCGUUGUAUUAGCUAGUUGGUGAGGUAACGGCUCACCAAGGCAACGAUACAUAGCCGACCUGAGAGGGUGAUCGGCCACACUGGGACUGAGACACGGCCCAGACUCCUACGGGAGGCAGCAGUAGGGAAUCUUCGGCAAUGGACGGAAGUCUGACCGAGCAACGCCGCGUGAGUGAAGAAGGGUUUCGGAUCGUAAAGCUCUGUUGUAAGAGAAGAACGAGUGUGAGAGUGGAAAGUUCACACUGUGACGGUAUCUGACCAGAAAGGGACGGCUAACUACGUG